UGAAUACGAGAUGCUACGGCAUCGAAGCAGUCUAUGUCAUACUUCCAAGAAAAGCUUGCACUGUCAUAAACAAAUAAUGCCUGUACCAUAACCGACACAGGUGGGUAGGUAGAGUAUACUAAGGGGCGCGAGAUAACUCUCUCUAAGGAACUCGGCAAAAUGACUCCGUAACUUCGGGAGAAGGAGUGCCUUAUUUUAUAAGGUUGCAAUAACAAGAUCCAAGCAACUGUUUACCAAAAACACAGGUCUCCGCUAAGUCGUAAGACGAUGUAUGGGGGCUGACGCCUGCCCAGUGCCAGAAGGUUAAAGAAGUUGGUUAGCAUUAGCGAAGCUGAUAACUGAAGCCCUGGUGAACGGCGGCCGUAACUAUAACGGUCCUAAGGUAGCGAAAUUCCUUGUCGGGUAAGUUCCGACCCGCACGAAAGGCGUAAUGAUUUGGAUACUGUCUCGGAGAGGGGCUCGGUGAAAUAGACUUGUCUGUGAAGAUGCGGACUACCUGCACCAGGACAGAAAGACCCUAUGAAGCUUUACUGUAACUUGAGAUUGAAAUUGGACUUUAUUUGCGCAGUAUAGGUGGGAGACGUUGAAAAUAUUCUUGCGGGAAUAUUGGAGUCAUCAGUGAGAUACCACUCUUAUAAUGUUAGAUUUCUAACUUUGUAUCAUUAUCUGGUCAAAGAACAGUCUCAGGCGGGCAGUUUGACUGGGGCGGUCGCCUCCCAAACGGUAACGGAGGCGCACAAAGGUUUCCUCUGAACGUGUAGAAAUCGUAUCUAGAGUGUAAAGGCAUAAGGAAGCUUGACUGUGAGACCUACAAGUCGAGCAGGGACGAAAGUCGGUCUUAGUGAUCUGACGGUGCUGAGUGGAAAGGCCGUCACUCAACGGAUAAAAGUUACUCUAGGAUAACAGGCUGAUCUCCCCCAAGAGUUCACAUCGACGGGGAGGUUUGGCACCUCGAUGUCGGCUCAUCGCAUCCUGGGGCGGUAGUACGUCCCAAGGGUUGGGCUGUUCGCCCAUGAAAGCGGUACGCGAGCUGGGUUCAGAACGUCGUGAGACAGUUCGGUCCAUAUCCGGUGUAGGCGUUAGAAUAUUGAGAGGAGCCUUCUUUAGUACGAGAGGACCGAGAAGGACAUACCUCUGGUGUACCAGUUAUCGUGCCAACGGUAAACGCUGGGUAGCUAUGUAUGGAGAGGAUAACCGCUGAAAGCAUCUAAGUGGGAAGCCCACCUCAAGAUAAGUAUUCC
This 1241-nucleotide ribosomal RNA is filed under the name metagenome. RNAcentral's name for it is "bacterial LSU rRNA". It matches the Rfam family "Bacterial large subunit ribosomal RNA", at positions 1564 to 2814 of the family's 2925-position model. The record is from RNAcentral.